This is a long non-coding RNA of Lycium ferocissimum, 862 nucleotides long. RefSeq lists it as uncharacterized. The transcript is spliced from 4 exons. Lineage: Eukaryota; Viridiplantae; Streptophyta; Magnoliopsida; Solanales; Solanaceae. The record is from RefSeq and is a predicted model, not a curated record.
UCUAGUUAAUUCUUCGCAGCAACUUUCUCAAAUAGCAACUUUCUCAAAUAGAAUGGCAAUCACAUCCUCGUGGUGUGAUGCGUCUCUCGCCAAUUUUUAGCUCAACAACAACGAAACGAAAGGAUAUUACCCAGUUUAUGAGACAUAAUAUCCGGUGGUUAAAACUAAAAGUGGAGGGGCGAAAAAGAGGCGCAAAUUUUGUCAAAAAUUUCCCCGGCCCAAACCACUCCUCCCAGGAAAAAAAAAAAAAAAGAAACCCUUUGACACAAAGGAUUUUCAACUCUUAUUCGUAACUGCUACUUUGCCCUGCCUUCCAGAUUUUAAUGUCUGGAUUUCCUUGAUAUGAAUCCAUUCAGUUUCGGAAGUCUGAAGUGGUAUUAACUUCAAAAGCUGAAAUAUACAUUCAUUACGCCUCGUGCCUUAGGAAGGAGAUAUGGGAGAAGCUUGAGAUCUUAUUGCCUCAAGGUCCAUUUGAUUCUGGAAGGUGAUUAGUAAGAGGUUAGAACAAGUAUAAAGAUCUUAAUUUGUGACGGCAAUAUGUACCCCUUGUGCAUGCACUUACGAGAAGACAUAUUUAUGAGAAGAUAAGUUGGAACACAUAUCAAGGGAGUCUAAAGAAUGCAUCCUCGAAAACCGUGCCCAGCAAGUUGUAGCAGCUGAAAUUGUUGAAGCACAAGCGAACCCUACUUUGUUUGGACAGGGAUUGUUUAAAGAUGUAGUUUCUACAUGUUACAAUUCUAUUUUCCUAUUUUAGUAGAGAAAAAUAAUGUUAUGCAAGUUGGAUGGAUAUAUUUUCUGUAAUAUGAUGCUCUUGUUCUUUGAUUGACCAUGAAAUUUAUAUAAAUAUUGAUAUGUUUUUGAA